AGCCCCCUUCGGGGGGCAAGUAGAGUGGCGCACGGGUGAGUAACACGUAGGUAAUCUACCUUUGGAUUGGGAAUAACCACCGGAAACGGUGGCUAAUACCGAAUAAUGCAGCGGCACCUAAUGGUGACAGUUGUUAAAGCGGGGGAUCGCAAGACCUCGCGUCUGAAGAGGAGCCUGCGGCGGAUUAGCUAGUUGGUAAGGUAACGGCUUACCAAGGCGAUGAUCCGUAGCCGGCCUGAGAGGGCGGUCGGCCACACUGACACUGACAUACGGGUCAGACUCCUACGGGAGGCAGCAGUCGGGAAUUUUGGGCAAUGGGCGAAAGCCUGACCCAGCAACGCCGCGUGAAGGAUGAAAUCCUUCGGGAUGUAAACUUCGCAAGAACGGGAAGAAUAAGUAAGGGUUAAUAUCCCUUACGAUGACGGUACCGUUUGUAAGCUCCGGCUAACUCCGUGCCAGCAGCCGCGGUAAUACGGGGGGAGCAAGCGUUGUUCGGAUUUACUGGGCGUAAAGGGCGCGUAGGCGGCCACCGCAAGUCGACUGUGAAAUCUCCGGGCUUAACCCGGAAAGGUCAGCCGAUACUGCGGGGCUAGAGUGCAGAAGGGGCAACUGGAAUUCUCGGUGUAGCGGUGAAAUGCGUAGAUAUCGAGAGGAACACCUGCGGCGAAGGCGGGUUGCUGGGCUGACACUGACGCUGAGGCGCGAAAGCUAGGGGAGCGAACGGGAUUAGAUACCCCGGUAGUCCUAGCCUUAAACGAUGAAUGCUUGGUGUCUGGGGUUUUAUAGUCCCCGGGUGCCGUCGCUAACGCUUUAAGCAUUCCGCCUGGGGAGUACGGUCGCAAGACUG
This 847-nucleotide ribosomal RNA is filed under the name uncultured Acidobacteriota bacterium. RNAcentral's name for it is "bacterial SSU rRNA". It matches the Rfam family "Bacterial small subunit ribosomal RNA", at positions 72 to 896 of the family's 1533-position model. The record is from RNAcentral. Lineage: Bacteria; Pseudomonadati; Acidobacteriota.